Molecule: long non-coding RNA, 224 nt
Filed under: Capsicum annuum
Lineage: Eukaryota; Viridiplantae; Streptophyta; Magnoliopsida; Solanales; Solanaceae
Description: long non-coding RNA (CANN_LNC001838)
Source: RNAcentral
AACCUCUAUCGGCCAAUCCCCACUACCAACCAACUCAUCUAUCACAACUAGCACCACACUAACUACCACUAAUACAUCACAACCUCUACACAUUCUUUGGUCGCCACCACCAUUGUCAUUAAUAACGCCACCUUUACCACCACUUUAAUCAGUACCACCGCUACAAUUUAUCUCUACUAACAAUCAUCUCCACCAUCACAACAAAUAACAUCUUCAACUAGCAC